CCAUUUGGCAGCCAAAGUGUUCGGACGUUAUUUUACAAUAAAAAUUAAUUUCCGCGUUUAAUUUAGCGUGGAAUAAAUCAAAUUGUAUAAAGUUUAAUUAAAAUAUAUAUAUCAUAAAUAUAUAUAUUUUACUUUUUUUUGUUUUUUUUUUGUUCAUAUUAUAAAUAUUUAUUUAAAUAUUUACAAAUCAGUGUGCCGGAAAAAUUAGAAGAAAAAAAAACAAUUUUAAACGUGUCGAUAUAAUAAUUUAUUUAUUUUUUUUUUAAAUUAAUCUAAUUUAUAAAUAAAAAAUAAACGAUAAUAAUGGCUGACCAGGAGAAUAAGGAUUUUAGCGAGGACAUUGCUGAUCAAUCAUUUGAGCAACAAAAUGGUGAUGCUAACAACACCACAUCUAAUACAACUACCACCACAACCACAACCAACACCAAUACUACAGCCGCUACAAAUAAUGGAAAUAGUGGUAAUGGUACUGCUGAACCAACUGAAAAUGGCCAAGAUUCACAAGAAGAAAGGACUGCUAAUGCAAAUAAUCCAAUAUCAAUUAACGAGAGAUCUAGAAAAUUGUUCGUUGGAGGACUUAGCUGGGAAACACAAGACAAGGAAUUAAGAGACCAUUUUGGAUGUCAUGGAGAUAUUGAAAGCAUCAAUGUUAAGACAGAUCCAAAUACAGGAAGAUCUAGAGGAUUUGCCUUCAUUGUCUUUAAAGAUCCUGCAUCACUUGAUAAGAUCAUGGCAGCUGGUGAUCAUGUUAUCAACAAUAAAAAAGUCGAUCCAAAAAAAGCUAAAGCACGUCAUGGUAAAAUAUUUGUUGGUGGUCUUUCAACAGAAUUAUCAGAUGAUGAUAUUAAAAAUUUCUUUGGACAAUUUGGUACAAUUGUCGAUGUUGAAAUGCCAUUUGAUAAAACAAAAAAUCAAAGAAAAGGAUUUUGUUUUAUUACAUUUGAAUCAGAACAAGUUGUUAAUGAUCUUUUGAAAACACCAAAACAAAAUAUCAAUGGAAAAGAGGUUGAUGUAAAAAAAGCAACACCAAAACCAGACGGUAUGGGUGGCAUGAGAGGUGGUGCUGCUGGUAGCCGUGGUGCAAGAGGUAGUGGACGUGGUACUGGUGGACGUGGUAGAGGCUUUGGUGGACAAGGAGGCUGGGGUCAAGGUGGAUAUGGAGGUGGUGGCUAUGGUGGUGGAUAUGGACAAGGCGGUUAUGGAGGCGGAUAUGGAGAUGGCUACGAUUAUUACGGCGGUGGGUACGGCGGAUAUGGUGGAUAUGGUGGCUACGACUACAGUGGAUACGACGGCUAUGGCUAUGGCGGUGGUAGUUACGAUGAUGGCUACAAUGGUGCUCGUGGUGGUGCACGUGGUAAAGGAGGCUCAGGCUACGGCGGCAAGCAGAGGGGUGGUGGUGGUGGCGGUGGUGGUGGUGGUCGCCAGAACCAAAGGCACCAACCCUAUUAAUGGAAUUUCAUUAAUCGCGUGACCAUCAAUGCAAUAAUGUAUUGUUAAACCGCUGGUUCCCAUACUAAAUCUCAUAAUGCGUCGAAUCAUCAUUCCAUUAAACCCCGUCAUUAUCAACAACAAGAUCGCAGACAACAGCCACAAGCCAACUACUCUAAUCAAGAUCAUCAUCAUCAACAGAAACAGCAAUAGUUUAUCUGAUUGUUUAUUUAAAAAAAAAAAAAACAAUUUUCUUUUUUCUCUCUUAAAUUAUCUCUC
This 1707-nucleotide unclassified non-coding RNA is filed under the name Aphidius gifuensis. Its description in RNAcentral is "rNA-binding protein squid, transcript variant X1". Lineage: Eukaryota; Metazoa; Arthropoda; Insecta; Hymenoptera; Braconidae. The record is from RNAcentral.